This 253-nucleotide ribosomal RNA is filed under the name uncultured bacterium. RNAcentral describes it as "partial 16S ribosomal RNA". It matches the Rfam family "Bacterial small subunit ribosomal RNA", at positions 524 to 776 of the family's 1533-position model. The record is from RNAcentral.
UACGGGGAGGGCUAGCGUUGUUCGGAAUUACUGGGCGUAAAGGGCUCGUAGGCGGCCAACUAAGUCGGAUGUGAAAUCCCCAGGCUCAACCUGGGAACUGCAUCCGAUACUGGAUGGCUUGAAUCCGGGAGAGGGAUGCAGAAUUCCUGGUGUAGCGGUGGAAUGCGCAGAUAUCAGGAGGAACACCGAUGGCGAAGGCAGGUCUCUGGGCACUUACUGACGCUGAGGAGCGAAAGCGUGGGGAGCGAACAGG